AUUGAACGCUGGCGGCAUGCCUUACACAUGCAAGUCGAACGGUAACGGGCCUUCAGGUGCCGACGAGUGGCGAACGGGUGAGUAAUACAUCGGAACGUGCCCGAUCGUGGGGGAUAACGAGGCGAAAGCUUUGCUAAUACCGCAUACGAUCUACGGAUGGAAGCAGGGGACCGCAAGGCCUUGCGCGGACGGAGCGGCCGAUGGCAGAUUGGGUAGUUGGUGGGAUAAAAGCUUACCAAGCCGACGAUCUGUAGCUGGUCUGAGAGGAUGAUCAGCCACACUGGGACUGAGACACGGCCCAGACUCCUACGGGAGGCAGCAGUGGGGAAUUUUGGACAAUGGGCGCAAGCCUGAUCCAGCCAUGCCGCGUGCAGGAUGAAGGCCUUCGGGUUGUAAACUGCUUUUGUACGGAACGAAAAGCCUUCUUUUAAUACAGGAGGGUCAUGACGGUACCGUAAGAAUAAGCACCGGCUAACUACGUG
Molecule: ribosomal RNA, 482 nt
Filed under: uncultured bacterium
Lineage: Bacteria
Description: partial 16S ribosomal RNA
Rfam family: Bacterial small subunit ribosomal RNA
Source: RNAcentral